This 182-nucleotide non-coding RNA is filed under the name Bacillus velezensis. RNAcentral describes it as "Lysine". It matches the Rfam family "Lysine riboswitch aptamer". Rfam says of the family: Riboswitches are metabolite binding domains within certain messenger RNAs that serve as precision sensors for their corresponding targets. Allosteric rearrangement of mRNA structure is mediated by ligand binding, and this results in modulation of gene expression. This family includes riboswitches that sense lysine in a number of genes involved in lysine metabolism, including lysC. Lineage: Bacteria; Bacillati; Bacillota; Bacilli; Caryophanales; Bacillaceae. The record is from RNAcentral.
CGGUGAGGUAGAGGUUGCGCUUGAUGAUGAGUCGCACAUGCCAGGCUGAUAAGGGGCCGCAAAACAUGUGUUAAAGGCAUCAGCGCCGAAGUGUAAAGAAAGCCGAUCCUUCUUUAUGCUGGGACUGUAUCUGAAUAAGUGCAGGACUGCCGCGUGCUUUUUCGCGGAGGGCUAUCCGGAGA